CAGCCGCCGCGGUAAUACGGAGGAUCCAAGCGUUAUCCGGAAUCAUUGGGUUUAAAGGGUCCGUAGGCGGUCUUGUAAGUCAGUGGUGAAAGCCCAUCGCUCAACGGUGGAACGGCCAUUGAUACUGCAGGACUUGAAUUAUUGGGAAGUAACUAGAAUAUGUAGUGUAGCGGUGAAAUGCUUAGAGAUUACAUGGAAUACCAAUUGCGAAGGCAGGUUACUACCAAUUGAUUGACGCUGAUGGACGAAAGCGUGGGUAGCGAACAGGAUUAGAUACCCGCGUAGUCCCUGUCUCUUAUAC
RNAcentral lists this ribosomal RNA (301 nucleotides) under uncultured bacterium. RNAcentral's name for it is "partial 16S ribosomal RNA". It matches the Rfam family "Bacterial small subunit ribosomal RNA", at positions 509 to 807 of the family's 1533-position model. The record is from RNAcentral.